GACGAACGCUGGCGGCGUGCUUAACACAUGCAAGUCACGGGGGCCCGCAAGGGCAACCGGCGAACGGGUGCGUAACACGUGAGCAACCUGCCUAUCUGCGGGGGAUAGCCGGCCCAACGGCCGGGUAAUACCGCAUACGUUCACGAGGGGACAUCCCCUUGUGAGGAAAACUCCGGUGCAGAUAGAGGGGCUCGCGGCCUAUCAGCUAGUUGGUGAGGUAACGGCUCACCAAGGCGACGACGGGAGCUGGUCUGAGAGGAUGGCCAGCCACAUUGGGACUGCGACACGGCCCAGACUCCUACGGGAGGCAGCAGUGGGGAAUAUUGCGCAAUGGACGAAAGUCUGACGCAGCGACGCCGCGUGUGGGAUGAAGCUCUUCGGGUGUAAACCACUGUGCCCGGGAAGAAUCUCCUGAUUCAUCAGGAUUGACGGUACCGGGUGAGGAAGCACCGGCUAACUCUGUGCCAGCAGCAGCCGCCG
RNAcentral lists this ribosomal RNA (480 nucleotides) under uncultured bacterium. RNAcentral's name for it is "bacterial SSU rRNA". It matches the Rfam family "Bacterial small subunit ribosomal RNA", at positions 28 to 523 of the family's 1533-position model. The record is from RNAcentral.